GACGAACGCUGGCGGCGUGCCUAAUACAUGCAAGUAGAACGCUGAAGCGAGGAGCUUGCUCUUCUUGGGUGAGUUGCGAACGGGUGAGUAACGCGUAGGUAACCUGCCUUGUAGCGGGGGAUAACUAUUGGAAACGAUAGCUAAUACCGCAUAACAAUGGAUGACACAUGUCAUUUAUUUGAAAGGGGCAAUUGCUCCACUACAAGAUGGACCUGCGUUGUAUUAGCUAGUAGGUGAGUUAAUGGCUCACCUAGGCGACGAUACAUAGCCGACCUGAGAGGGUGAGCGGCCACACUGGGACUGAGACACGGCCCAGAGUCCUACGGGAGGGAGCAGUAGGGAAUCUUCGGCAAUGGGGGCAACCCUGACCGAGCAACGCCGCGUGAGUGAAGAAGGUUUUCGGAUCGUAAAGCUCGGUUGUAAGUCAAGAACGGGUGUGAGAGUGGAAAGUUCACACUGUGACGGUAGCUUACCAGAAAGGGACGGCUAACUACGUG
Molecule: ribosomal RNA, 497 nt
Filed under: uncultured bacterium
Lineage: Bacteria
Description: partial 16S ribosomal RNA
Rfam family: Bacterial small subunit ribosomal RNA
Source: RNAcentral